Molecule: small nuclear RNA, 107 nt
Organism: Saimiri boliviensis boliviensis (Bolivian squirrel monkey)
Lineage: Eukaryota; Metazoa; Chordata; Mammalia; Primates; Cebidae
Source: RefSeq, a predicted model, not a curated record
AUGCUCAUUUCAGCAGCACAUAUACUAAAAUGAGAAUGAUACAGAGAAGAUUAACACGGCCCCUGAACAAAGAUGGCAUGCAAAUUUGUGAAGAAUUUCAUAUAACU